UUUGUAUAAUGGGUCAGCGACUUAUAUUCAGUGGCAAGGUUAACCAUCUAGGGGAGCCGUAGGGAAACCGAGUCUUAACUGGGCGUUCAGUCUCUGGAUAUAGACCCGAAACCAGGUGAUCUAGCCAUGGGCAGGUUGAAGGUUGAGUAACAUCAACUGGAGGACCGAACCGACUAAUGUUGAAAAAUUAGCGGAUGACUUGUGGCUAGGGGUGAAAGGCCAAUCAAACCUGGAGAUAGCUGGUUCUCCCCGAAAGCUAUUUAGGUAGCGCCUCGGACGAAUACUACUGGGGGUAGAGCACUGUUAAGGCUAGGGGGUCAUCCCGACUUACCAACCCUUUGCAAACUCCGAAUACCAGUAAGUACUAUCCGGGAGACACACGGCGGGUGCUAACGUCCGUCGUGGAGAGGGAAACAACCCAGACCGCCAGCUAAGGUCCCAAAUUACUACUAAGUGGGAAACGAUGUGGGAAGGCUCAGACAGCCAGGAUGUUGGCUUAGAAGCAGCCAUCAUUUAAAGAAAGCGUAAUAGCUCACUGGUCGAGUCGGCCUGCGCGGAAGAUGUAACGGGGCUAAGUAGUAAACCGAAGCUGCGGCAAUGUGCUUUUGCACAUUGGGUAGGGGAGCGUUCUGUAAGCGGUUGAAGGUGUGUGGUAACGCAUGCUGGACGUAUCAGAAGUGCGAAUGCUGACAUGAGUAACGAUAAAGGGGGUGAAAAACCUCCUCGCCGGAAGACCAAGGGUUCCUGUCCAACGUUAAUCGGGGCAGGGUAAGUCGACCCCUAAGGCGAGGCCGAAAGGCGUAGUCGAUGGGAAACGGGUUAAUAUUCCCGUACUUCUUACAAUUGCGAUGGGGGGACGGAGAAGGCUAGGUGGGCCUGGCGACGGUUGUC
This 891-nucleotide ribosomal RNA is filed under the name Vibrio parahaemolyticus. RNAcentral's name for it is "partial 23S ribosomal RNA". It matches the Rfam family "Bacterial large subunit ribosomal RNA", at positions 607 to 1506 of the family's 2925-position model. The record is from RNAcentral. Lineage: Bacteria; Pseudomonadati; Pseudomonadota; Gammaproteobacteria; Vibrionales; Vibrionaceae.